RNAcentral lists this ribosomal RNA (253 nucleotides) under uncultured bacterium. RNAcentral describes it as "partial 16S ribosomal RNA". It matches the Rfam family "Bacterial small subunit ribosomal RNA", at positions 524 to 776 of the family's 1533-position model. The record is from RNAcentral.
GACGUAGGGCGCGAGCGUUGUCCGGAUUUAUUGGGCGUAAAGAGCUCGUAGGCGGCUUGUCGCGUCGAAUGUGAAAACUCGGGGCUCAACUCCGAGCUUGCAUUCGAUACGGGCAGGCUAGAGUUCGGUAGGGGAGACUGGAAUUCCUGGUGUAGCGGUGAAAUGCGCAGAUAUCAGGAGGAACCCCAGAGGCGAAGGCGGCGCCCUGGCUCGCAACUGACGCUCAGACACGACAGCAUGGGGAGCGAACGGG